Molecule: ribosomal RNA, 739 nt
Filed under: uncultured Staphylococcus sp.
Lineage: Bacteria; Bacillati; Bacillota; Bacilli; Caryophanales; Staphylococcaceae
Description: bacterial SSU rRNA
Rfam family: Bacterial small subunit ribosomal RNA
Source: RNAcentral
AGUCGAGCGAACAGACGAGGAGCUUGCUCCUCUGACGUUAGCGGCGGACGGGUGGGUAACACGUGGAUAACCUACCUAUAAGACUGGGAUAACUUCGGGAAACCGGAGCUAAUACCGGAUAAUAUAUUGAACCGCAUGGUUCAAUAGUGAAAGACGGUUUUGCUGUCACUUAUAGAUGGAUCCGCGCCGCAUUAGCUAGUUGGUAAGGUAACGGCUUACCAAGGCAACGAUGCGUAGCCGACCUGAGAGGGUGAUCGGCCACACUGGAACUGAGACACGGUCCAGACUCCUACGGGAGGCAGCAGUAGGGAAUCUUCCGCAAUGGGCGAAAGCCUGACGGAGCAACGCCGCGUGAGUGAUGAAGGUCUUCGGAUCGUAAAACUCUGUUAUUAGGGAAGAACAAAUGUGUAAGUAACUAUGCACGUCUUGACGGUACCUAAUCAGAAAGCCACGGCUAACUACGUGCCAGCAGCCGCGGUAAUACGUAGGUGGCAAGCGUUAUCCGGAAUUAUUGGGCGUAAAGCGCGCGUAGGCGGUUUUUUAAGUCUGAUGUGAAAGCCCACGGCUCAACCGUGGAGGGUCAUUGGAAACUGGAAAACUUGAGUGCAGAAGAGGAAAGUGGAAUUCCAUGUGUAGCGGUGAAAUGCGCAGAGAUAUGGAGGAACACCAGUGGCGAAGGCGACUUUCUGGUCUGUAACUGACGCUGAUGUGCGAAAGCGUGGGGAUCAAACAGGAUUAG